Molecule: ribosomal RNA, 221 nt
Filed under: uncultured bacterium
Lineage: Bacteria
Description: partial 16S ribosomal RNA
Rfam family: Bacterial small subunit ribosomal RNA
Source: RNAcentral
UAAUGUCUGGGAAACGUGCCUGAUGGAGGGGGGUAACUACUGGAAACGGUAGCUAAUACCGCAUAAUGUCGCAAGACCAAAGUGGGGGACCUUCGGGCCUCAUGCCAUCAGAUGUGCCCAGAUGGGAUUAGCUAGUAGGUGGGGUAACGGCUCACCUAGGCGACGAUCCCUAGCUGGUCUGAGAGGAUGACCAGCCACACUGGAACUGAGACACGGUCCAG